This 894-nucleotide long non-coding RNA is filed under the name Capsicum annuum. RNAcentral describes it as "long non-coding RNA (CANN_LNC008442)". Lineage: Eukaryota; Viridiplantae; Streptophyta; Magnoliopsida; Solanales; Solanaceae. The record is from RNAcentral.
UAGUAUUAUUCAGCAUUAAUUUCGUACAGUGUAUUCAGAUAAAUGUAUUUUGCAUAAAAAAAUACAUAUAUCUGAUAUCAAAUAUGCACUGAUACAUUCAUCAAAUAAAUCUAGAUAUACUAGAUACAUCAAUUAAGUCUGUAUGUUGUGUAUCUAUGCAUAAAUCAUAGUUAGAAGAAGAUAAAGAAGAAAAAGCAGAAGAAACUUCAGGGAAUCACCACUGCAUAGAGAUACACAAAUACACAUGUAUUUGCACAAAGUUUUGCAUUCAUCUGUGGUGGAUACAUAAAUAGGUAUACAUGGAUAUAUAAGUACACAUCUUCUUAAUUACUCGACUCCACUACUUCUCUUUAUGCUUCUCCGUUGAUAUGUGGAGUUUUCUAAUUUGAGAAAAUUUUGAAGAUCUAAAUCUGAAUGUAUUUACUAAUUCUGAAACAUGUAAUUUCAUUGAUGGAUCCAAAGCUUUUUAAAUCUGAAAUUUUCUCUAUCAAUUUUUUUCCAAGAAGAUCGAUAAGAACUCCAAUCACGACACAGAUCUGUAAUUCAUCAUUGAUGAGUACAAACCCCGGCGACAAUCUACAUUUGGUAGGAAAUGGUCGACUCAAAUCCAAUACUAUCAUCGUCCUCAUUCAUGAAGACAACGGAGACACCAUUGUAGCCCGAAAGAAUCAUCGAUGAGAAUUCACCACUAUUGUCCGAUUGCCUAGAGUUUUGGGAAGAGACUUUUUUUUGAAGGGGAAAAGGGCAGAGGGCGAGAGAAAGAUGGAGGGGAGGUGAGGUUGAAAAUCAUGAAGGAGAAAGGCGAGGUUUACGUUGUGUAUCUAGGGAGUUUGCUACGAAAUACCAAAAGUCUAUACAAUUGUGUAAUUAAUUUAAACUUAUGUAUGAUUAGAU